UGCGUCGGCCUGGAGUCGAACCCGGGUCAACUGCUUGGAAGGCAGCUAUGCUAACCGUUAUACCACCGACGC
This 72-nucleotide transfer RNA is filed under the name Araneus ventricosus. Its description in RNAcentral is "tRNA-Gly". The record is from RNAcentral. Lineage: Eukaryota; Metazoa; Arthropoda; Arachnida; Araneae; Araneidae.